AGUGGCGAACGGGUGAGUAACACGUGGGUGACCUGCCCUGCACUUCGGGAUAAGCCUGGGAAACUGGGUCUAAUACCGGAUAGGACCGGCACCGUGAGGGUGUGGUGGAAAGUUUUUUCGGUGUGGGAUGGGCCCGCGGCCUAUCAGCUUGUUGGUGGGGUAAUGGCCUACCAAGGCGGCGACGGGUAGCCGGCCUGAGAGGGUGGACGGCCACAUUGGGACUGAGACACGGCCCAGACUCCUACGGGAGGCAGCAGUGGGGAAUAUUGCACAAUGGGCGGAAGCCUGAUGCAGCGACGCCGCGUGGGGGAUGACGGCCUUCGGGUUGUAAACUCCUUUCACCAUCGACGAAGGGUUUCUGACGGUAGAUGGAGAAGAAGCACCGGCUAACUACGUGCCAGCAGCCGCGGUAAUACGUAGGGUGCGAGCGUUGUCCGGAAUUACUGGGCGUAAAGAGCUCGUAGGUGGUUUGUCGCGUCGUCUGUGAAAUUCCGGGGCUUAACUCCGGGCGUGCAGGCGAUACGGGCAUAACUUGAGUACUGUAGGGGAGACUGGAAUUCCUGGUGUAGCGGUGAAAUGCGCAGAUAUCAGGAGGAACACCGGUGGCGAAGGCGGGUCUCUGGGCAGUAACUGACGCUGAGGAGCGAAAGCAUGGGGAGCGAACAGGAUUAGAUACCCUGGUAGUCCAUGCCGUAAACGGUGGGCGCUAGGUGUGGGUUUCCUUCCACGGGAUCCGUGCCGUAGCUAACGCAUUAAGCGCCCCGCCUGGGGAGUACGGCCGCAAGGCUA
This 789-nucleotide ribosomal RNA is filed under the name uncultured Actinomycetes bacterium. RNAcentral's name for it is "bacterial SSU rRNA". It matches the Rfam family "Bacterial small subunit ribosomal RNA", at positions 94 to 896 of the family's 1533-position model. The record is from RNAcentral. Lineage: Bacteria; Bacillati; Actinomycetota; Actinomycetes.